GAUGAACGCUGGCGGCGUGCCUAAUACAUGCCAGUCGAGCGAACAGACGAGGAGCUUGCUCCUCUGACGUUAGCGGCGGACGGGUGAGUAACACGUGGAUAACCUACCUAUAAGACUGGGAUAACUUCGGGAAACCGGAGCUAAUACCGGAUAAUAUAUUGAACCGCAUUGUUCAAUAGUGAAAGACGGUUUUGCUGUCACUUAUAGAUUGAUCCGCGCCGCAUUAGCUAGUUGGUAAGGUAACGGCUUACCAAGGCGACGAUGCGUAGCCGACCUGAGAGGGUGAUCGGCCACACUGGAACUGAGACACGGUCCAGACUCCUACGGGAGGCAGCAGUAGGGAAUCUUCCGCAAUGGGCGAAAGCCUGACGGAGCAACGCCGCGUGAGUGAUGAAGGUCUUCGGAUCGUAAAACUCUGUUAUUAGGGAAGAACAAAUGUGUAAGUAACUAUGCACGUCUUGACGGUACCUAAUCAGAAAGCCACGGCUAACUACGUG
RNAcentral lists this ribosomal RNA (497 nucleotides) under uncultured bacterium. RNAcentral's name for it is "partial 16S ribosomal RNA". It matches the Rfam family "Bacterial small subunit ribosomal RNA", at positions 28 to 507 of the family's 1533-position model. The record is from RNAcentral.